GACGAACGCUGGCGGCGUGCCUAAUACAUGCAAGUUGAGCGCUGAAGGUUGGUACUUGUACCAACUGGAUGAGCAGCGAACGGGUGAGUAACGCGUGGGGAAUCUGCCUUUGAGCGGGGGACAACAUUUGGAAACGAAUGCUAAUACCGCAUAAAAACUUUAAACACAAGUUUUAAGUUUGAAAGAUGCAAUUGCAUCACUCAAAGAUGAUCCCGCGUUGUAUUAGCUAGUUGGUGAGGUAAAGGCUCACCAAGGCGAUGAUACAUAGCCGACCUGAGAGGGUGAUCGGCCACAUUGGGACUGAGACACGGCCCAAACUCCUACGGGAGGCAGCAGUAGGGAAUCUUCGGCAAUAGACGAAAGUCUGACCGAGCAACGCCGCGUGAGUGAAGAAGGUUUUCGGAUCGUAAAACUCUGUUGGUAGAGAAGAACGUUGGUGAGAGUGGAAAGCUCAUCAAGUGACGGUAACUACGCAGAAAGGGACGGCUAACUACGUG
Molecule: ribosomal RNA, 497 nt
Filed under: uncultured bacterium
Lineage: Bacteria
Description: partial 16S ribosomal RNA
Rfam family: Bacterial small subunit ribosomal RNA
Source: RNAcentral